GCUGCCACUACUCCAUGUGCCCGCGAUUGUCUUGCGUGUAUGAUUACACUAACGGCGUCGCCCACCACGGCGGAAGUGUUUUGCGUACACGCGUUUCAGCAUGAAGCCUGCAGGUGGACGUAAAUUGUAGAAGGCAGCUAGUGGGGGAGAAGAUCAUGGUCAUAGGUCAUGUGACUCCUGGAGCUCCCAGUGGGCUCCCUUGUGGAGUACUUUUCAGAACACACACACACACAGUUUGCUCACAGAACCAACGAGUAGGAUGUUGCUUGAAUACUGAGAGAAAAUGGCGUAACACAUACAAAUAUCGUGUGACACAUAUGACAAUAAAAACAUUUUUCACGAGGGA
This is a long non-coding RNA of Ornithodoros turicata, 346 nucleotides long. RefSeq lists it as uncharacterized. The transcript has 2 exons. Lineage: Eukaryota; Metazoa; Arthropoda; Arachnida; Ixodida; Argasidae. The record is from RefSeq and is a predicted model, not a curated record.